CAGCCUAGUGUGACCCGUGCUUUAGGUUUACAUUGAUAUAAGUCGCAAUUUGGAAACGACCACUGAUCGAAUAUAGGUAAGUUGCUGGCAAUUUCGGUGAAGGAGACGAAUUACUUCACUCAGUUGAGUCGAGGGAGAGACUGCGCUAGAGGAAAAAAGAACAAGUGGCUGCUGCAGGAUGCGGACAUUGCAAAAAUUCAAGAAAAAAUCAACAACCAUAUAAUAUCAAUGGCAGAGUUUUUAUCCGCUGCGACUCACAAAAUAUUAACUCUUGUGGAAUCGUACCAGCCGACGCUGACGAUGAGAUAGAGAUGCAGAAUUUACUACCAGUCAUGGAGCUCAAGCCUCAAAUCACAGUGACGGUCCCUGAAGCCCUUCCCACCUCGCUGUACAACGACUAUCAGUGGAAUCCGGUCCAGCUGUCGAGCUCAUGUCAUCAGCUGUGUGCUGAGGAGUUCAUGUCCUUGGAGGACAUAAGAAAACAACGUGAAGGCCUCAUGCGAUGUUUACGGCAGGAUCCUGAUGAAA
Macrosteles quadrilineatus (aster leafhopper) is the source of this 528-nucleotide long non-coding RNA. RefSeq lists it as uncharacterized. The record is from RefSeq and is a predicted model, not a curated record. Lineage: Eukaryota; Metazoa; Arthropoda; Insecta; Hemiptera; Cicadellidae. The transcript is spliced from 3 exons.